UAACCUCAGUGUCCUGACACUCUACAGAUUGAGUCAACAAAGAAGGAAGAAAUGGGUGUUAAACUGUGUUAACAAUUUGUGGCUGAAAACCAUGCCUGAACUAGAUUUUUUUUUUUUUUUUGGUUCUUUUUUUCGGAGCUGGGGACCGAACCCAGGGCCUUGCGCUUCCUAGGUAAGCGCUCUACCACUGAGCUAAAUCCCCAGCCCCACCUGAACUAGAUUUUUAAUUUCUUGUAUAACUCUCUUAUUAGUUUUGAGAAAUCUUUCUUGGGGCUUCUUAUUUUCGAGUUAGUAACACAUUUUGAUGUCUCUUUUUGUAUGAAAAUUGUACUUUUUUUUUUCAGUUGGGAUUUUUAACAGUUCUAUGUAAAUUGAUCUUUUAGUAAAUUUAUUUUUAAUGCAUGAAUAUUUACAGGACAUAUGCUACUACUUCUAUAUAUUUAAGAACUUUUUAAAGCUAAUAACUACUUUCUAUUUAUGUUUUAAUGUAUCCUUUCUUUUAAUACGUCUAGUUUUGCCCUGUGUGGUGACGCACAGCUAUGAUCCCAGCACUUGAGAGGUAGAGAUGGGAGGGACAAGUGUUCAAAGUUUGAGGACAGCCUGGGCUUCAUGAGUCCCCAUCCCAAAUAAAGAUUCAAAAGUUAAAUACAUAGUCUCUAUUGUACUCGGUAUGUAUGAGAAAUCUGGCAAAAUACAAGGAAAAUCAAACAAAUUCUUACCCAAAUUCCUGAGGUUUUCUCAUGUAUUAUAGAGUUAAUGCUUUAAAUCAAAUUAGAUGCAGUGUUGCAAAGAAAUAUGUAUGACAGCUUAUUUUCCGUCUAGUGAACUUUCUAAAUAAUGCAUGUUUCUGUAAUGGAAAUAAUUUUGGAAUCAAAUGUGUUGAAUUUAGUGUAAAGGACUCUUUUCUCUUGUUCUGUGACCUUGACAUAGGGAACACUCUGUGCAAUCCUACAGCCUUUCCUGAUGACCGUUAUCUAUAUUUUGUGUAACAGUGGCAUAACAAGGUAUCACGUAAAUCUCCUUUUCCUGUUGCAAACCAAUAGCCUUCUGCAGCUACUCAUCAAGACGAGCAGAGCGGCCCUUUGUAGGCUGGCCUCUGAGUCAGACUGUGAUGCUGUGUGUUUAGGUGAAAUGUUACCUCCCGUACAGAGCUUACCCUCUGCAAGUGUAAGUCAUUACUACAGGAACGGAGAAGCCCCUGCUCAUCAGUGUAAACGGUCUGAUUCCAGCUUUUGUAACGUUAGUAUUCUUUAUCAGUAAUGAUGUUCUUUGAUGCUCAUUUACCCCCUUGUUUUGUGUUGGUAAUAAAACUUCUCGGAAUUUGAA
RNAcentral lists this long non-coding RNA (1326 nucleotides) under Rattus norvegicus (Norway rat). RNAcentral's name for it is "long non-coding RNA NONRATT023056". The record is from RNAcentral. Lineage: Eukaryota; Metazoa; Chordata; Mammalia; Rodentia; Muridae.